UACGAAGGGGGCUAGCGUUGCUCGGAAUUACUGGGCGUAAAGCGCACGUAGGCGGCUCUUUAAGUCGGGGGUGAAAUCCUGGAGCUCAACUCCAGAACUGCCUUCGAUACUGUAGAGCUUGAGUCCGGGAGAGGUGAGUGGAACUGCGAGUGUAGAGGUGAAAUUCGUAGAUAUUCGCAAGAACACCAGUGGCGAGGGCGGCUCACUGGCCCGGUACUGACGCUGAGGUGCGAAAGCGUGGGGAGCAAACAGG
This 253-nucleotide ribosomal RNA is filed under the name uncultured bacterium. RNAcentral's name for it is "partial 16S ribosomal RNA". It matches the Rfam family "Bacterial small subunit ribosomal RNA", at positions 524 to 776 of the family's 1533-position model. The record is from RNAcentral.